UACGUAUGGGGCAAGCGUUAUCCGGAUUUACUGGGUGUGAAGGGAGCGCAGGCGGCCUGGCAAGCCUGAUGUGAAAUACCGGGGCCCAACCCCGGGGCUGCAUUGGGAACUGCCAGGCUGGAGUGCCGGAGAGGCAGGCGGAAUUCCUAGUGUAGCGGUGAAAUGCGUAGAUAUUAGGAGGAACACCAGUGGCGAAGGCGGCCUGCUGGACGGUGACUGACGCUGAGGCGCGAAAGCUGGGGGAGCGAACAGG
RNAcentral lists this ribosomal RNA (253 nucleotides) under uncultured bacterium. RNAcentral's name for it is "partial 16S ribosomal RNA". It matches the Rfam family "Bacterial small subunit ribosomal RNA", at positions 524 to 776 of the family's 1533-position model. The record is from RNAcentral.